CUACGCCGACUGGUCAUGAAGCGAAGCCUGGUUCAUCCUCACCCAAUGCUGCUUUUCUGGGGCGGCCGCGUGAGUCUGAGAGCCAAUCAGAGGCGACGUCGCUUGUGCGCCUCCACGUCGGCAGCAGCUGCGGUCAAGAUGGAGGCACUGAUUUUGGAGCCCUCCCUGUACACUGUCAAGGCCGUCCUGAUUCUGGACAAUGAUGGAGAUCGACUCUUUGCUAAGUACUAUGACGACACCUAUCCCAGUGUCAAGGAGCAAAAGGCCUUUGAGAAGAACAUUUUCAACAAGACCCAUCGGACAGAUAGUGAAAUUGCUCUGUUGGAAGGGCUGACAGUGGUCUAUAAAAGUAGCAUCGAUCUCUAUUUCUAUGUGAUUGGCAGCUCCUAUGAAAACGAGUUGAUGCUUAUGGCUGUUCUGAAUUGCCUGUUUGACUCCUUGAGCCAGAUGCUGAGGAAGAAUGUAGAAAAGAGAGCUCUGCUGGAGAACAUGGAGGGGCUCUUCUUGGCUGUGGAUGAAAUUGUAGACGGAGGGGUGAUCCUAGAGAGCGACCCCCAGCAAGUGGUGCACCGGGUGGCUUUGCGGGGUGAGGACGUCCCCCUUACAGAGCAGACCGUGUCUCAGGUAUACCUCUUCUCUCUUCAUCCCCCCAGUGGAUUUGAAUUCGGGGGGACUUUCCCAAACUGACAAUCCUCUAGGGCCUUAGAGAGCUUCCUGUCCUUCCACCCUUGGGGUUUUCUAUCCCCAGUUCUUCUAAGGAGAGGGAAGGUGCUACAGUCAGCAAAAGAACAGAUCAAGUGGUCCCUCCUUCGAUGAAGAUGUUUCUUGCCCAGUUCCUUGUGCCUCAAAACCCCACAUCUGCUAUGACUUCUUAUCCAGGCCCCCAGCAGAUGCUCUUAGGGUCAUGUUGGAGAUCACAAUGGACCCUUGCAUCUCUAUCCUUUCUGGAGUUGUUUGUCCUCCACUUCCUUCCCACUCAAGGGCAGAUCUGAAUGAGGCAGGGGAGACACCCUCUUCCUACUACUCUGGUUCUCCCACCCCCACUUUCUCUCCUGGCCCUUUUCUGUAGCUGUACUUCAGAUCAAAGCAGGAGAAAGAAUGUGCUGAGUGUUUCCCUCCCUGUGCCCCAAGGGCCUUCAUCCCAGCAUCCCAUAUGUCCAGCAAAGGGAGGACUCCUUCCUUCAGCCCAAGUGGGUCUGGAGUGGCAGGGGCUGCGCAGCUUCUCUCCUUCCUGCUGCCCUGCCCUCAGCCUUGAAGAGAUUGGGAACAGAGCUGCAAAGGGACAGUGAUCUAACCGCUGUCCGUGAGUGAGUGUGCAGGCAGUGCGGUCUCUGCUAUAAUCUACCCUUCACAAGGCCGCUGUGCCUACUCUAGGUCUGUACCACACCUCUUCGAGGUCUUUGCCUGGUGUGGCCUCUGGUAGCUUGGAGCAAAGCCAGACCUUGGAACUAAAACAACAGAGGUGGCCACCAGAAGAGUUUCUACACAGAACCAGGAAGAAAGAGUCCUUCAUGACUUGGGUCUUGCCAUGUUCCUUCUCAGCUCUCCCACUCAUACUCCUCUGCCGUGGUUCUGCAGUCUGCUCUUGAGCUCUCCCUCCCUGCCCCAGCCUUCCCCUCAACCGAGGGGCUGGUGCCUGCCUUUCUUCUAAGGCUUGGAUUCCCGUUCUUGGUUGAAAUGUUGCCCCUUGACCCCACAUCUCCGUGAAAAUGUCUUAGAAAAACGUUCCCCUGCAAACAUUCUGCCCCGUGCUUUGGCUGAAGUGGGCAGACUGGAGGCGGCCUCUGCAAGAAAUGGAGUCAGGCGAAGUCCACCUUGUACGUUGCUGUGCGUCAGAGGAAUAAAGCGAAUCU
Chionomys nivalis (European snow vole) is the source of this 1853-nucleotide RNA transcript. It is a transcript of the gene named COPI coat complex subunit zeta 1, with no coding region annotated. Lineage: Eukaryota; Metazoa; Chordata; Mammalia; Rodentia; Cricetidae. The record is from RefSeq and is a predicted model, not a curated record. The transcript has 10 exons.